UUGUGUAUAUUGUUUAUUCACUCUGUCAGACAAAAUCUUUACACCCAAGUGCAGUCAGUAAAUUUAAAAGUGCAUGUCUGCAAGGGGAAGUCAGAAUUGUAUUUGAAGACAAUUGCAUCUUGUUUGAUAGUUCUCGAGCACUUGUGCGCCACUAAUCGAGCACAGCUUGGCCCUAUACUCGAUGAGGCUUGAAGCUUUCAAUGUCUGCUAAUCACUAAAACAGCACCAGAUCUCACUCUGUGUCAAGGGGUGGCACACAUUUGCUUAGUUCUAGGCAGAUGCAUGUCUUUCUUUCGCAUUGAAGUUCCCAAUACUUUCUAGUCUUACGUAAAAGUACACAGCUCAGUACAAUGCAUGUAUGGUAUACGUAAGGCUGCUUUGUUCUUUAAACCGAAUCAACAAGAAGCAGCGACUUCCGUUUUUGCAAACCUUACCCUACUUCCUAACCAUUCCUUGAUCAAAUGCGUAUAAAAUGAAUCUUUGGUUGUUGUAUUCUUUCACAGGUAGACAUCGGUGACGGUGUAUACGUUGAAAAGGGCCUGCUGAAGAGGCUGUGCCUGGAUGCUAACAACUCAGGCUUUCACUUCGCGGAGGGCCUCCUUAAAGCUCCUUUUUCAAUAGAAGACGUUGAAGGGAGGUCCUUCUUUGGGCGGCUGUCAAAUGCCUUCCACAGAAGGAUCCGUUGGAUUCCAAGAAGGUCAACACCAUAGUAGACUACACAACGCAACAUUUCAGCCUACUUCCAGGGCAGCUGGAGAACUCGUCCUCCUUACUAGCCCGGGGAUAUUAAAUGGAUGUGUUCAAGCACAAA
Dermacentor albipictus is the source of this 811-nucleotide non-coding RNA. The record is from RefSeq and is a predicted model, not a curated record. NCBI's taxonomy places the organism in Eukaryota, Metazoa, Arthropoda, Arachnida, Ixodida, Ixodidae.